UUUCGAAUUCGAUUAUGUGG
This 20-nucleotide microRNA is filed under the name Branchiostoma floridae (Florida lancelet). Its description in RNAcentral is "bfl-miR-4858-3p". The record is from miRBase by way of RNAcentral. Lineage: Eukaryota; Metazoa; Chordata; Leptocardii; Amphioxiformes; Branchiostomatidae.